RNAcentral lists this ribosomal RNA (468 nucleotides) under Triticum aestivum (bread wheat). Its description in RNAcentral is "partial small subunit ribosomal RNA". The record is from RNAcentral. Lineage: Eukaryota; Viridiplantae; Streptophyta; Magnoliopsida; Poales; Poaceae.
AUGGAUGUGCUAGCGCUGGAUCUGGGCGACGGAGGCGUGGAUGUGGAGCGGCACCCGAGCGGCCGAUCUGGAGCGGUGCCGGAGCGGCGGAUCUGGAGCAACGUCGUCGUCCUGACGGUGCCCUGCCCCGCCACGCCACGUCGUCGUCGUCGCGGAGUAGCUGCUUCCUCCUGCAGAGAAGGAGCACGCCCAGGAGAAGAAGGAUCAGGAGAAGGCCCUGAGGACCUGGGAUCGCUGUUGCUGGAUCUGGAUCUGGGACCUGGGACCGCUGCUGCUGCGUGCUCCUUCUGGGAGACGAGGAUCCUCCUUGGCGCCCCUGGAUCGCUGUUGCUGAAGACGCCCCUGGAGGGGACCUGGGCCUGGGAGCGUGGAGGAGAAGCAGGGGCGGGCGGGCGGGUGAUGGCCUGGCGGAGAAUUUCAAAUCCUCGGAUGGAGGAAGAAGACGAUGGGGAUACCGAUUCAUACUAG